Molecule: microRNA precursor, 187 nt
Filed under: Oryza brachyantha (malo sina)
Lineage: Eukaryota; Viridiplantae; Streptophyta; Magnoliopsida; Poales; Poaceae
Description: MIR812 microRNA precursor family
Rfam family: MIR812 microRNA precursor family
Source: Rfam by way of RNAcentral
AAUAACCUCAUCUUUCGUUUUUCUGUGUUCAACGUUUGACCAUUCGACUUAUUUAAAAUUUUUUUGCAAUUAAUAUUUUUAUUAUUACUAGAUGAUAAAAUAUGAAUAGUACUUUAUACGUGAAUAACUUUUUUAAGUUUUUGUACAAACUUUUUAAAUAAGACGAAUGAUCAGGACACGGAAAAAC